GAUACCAUUGCCUAUUUGCAGCUUAAACUCCUGGAGCUUUGCUCAUGCUUUCUCUUUCCCACUUUCUCAUGGAACAGAUGUAUACAUCAUGAAAUGAAAACAACAGCACAAAUUGCUGUCUCGUAAGAGAAACAGUCAUACAUAGUAGGUUAGGCCUCAUGUCCAUUAACUUACUAAUGAAUUUUAUGAAAAUUGGCUAUCUCAUUGAAAUUACAUAGGUAUUGGAAACCCUUACUCCAGCUGCAUCAUCUCAUCAGUGAAAGCUGGAUUUUCCAUUUGUUCUUGAGAUUCAUAUUAAGGCAGCAAAUUGCUCAUCCCAUACUAUCUAUGUAAUCCUGUAAAAGGGAAGGGCGUUUAGAUGUGGAAAAACCUUACUCCUGCCGCUGCACCUCAAACAGAUUGCGAUCACACAAGACUUAGUUCAUCAUUAGUAGUAGUUGGAGCUUCCAUUUGUUCUUGAGAUUCAAAGGCAGCAAGCUGCUUCCUCAGUGCUACUAAUUCUUCCCCGGCAUUGCAUAUGUAGGCUGAGGCUUGUCUACCAGACAAAGUUGCUCCUUCCAUACUAUCUAUGUAAUCCUGUGAGAGUGAAACCAUUUAGGAGACAUAUCUCUUUUUUUUCCCAAUAUUUGGGAUGAAACAAUGAUAUACAGUUACCUGUUUUGUAUACGAGCCAGCAAGGAAGAAGUUCUUCACAGGUGUCUUUUGAUCAGGUCUGAAGGGGUCUUUACCAGGUCCCUCACGGUACAAAGAUUGCCCGAUUUUGACAACAGAUGACCAAAUAACUUCUAAACCUUGGGAUGAUGGAAAUAGAGCUAAAACCUAAUAAAAUGAACCAUGAAUGGAUAAUUUGUACUGAUGUAUGUUAUCCAGAAAGUUGCAUGACCUUUUGUGGUACUCAGGUCACUAAAAAAAACGUGAGAUAAACAUCUAGGAUAAGAAAACCAAAAAUAGUAACCUAAUAUGUAUUAUAUGAAUUGAAGGUGUCACUGAACGCUACCAACCUGCUUUGCCACUCUCCUUAUGAUUUCAUCAUUUGGUAAGGGCAUGUAAGGAUCGCCAGGCGUCAAAACACAUCUGCAAGAUAAUAUGGUUAUAGUGAGAAACACAGAAUACAAAGACACUUGGCAAAAGGAAGUCAACCAGAUUCCAUGCACAAAAUGAAACUAAAAACGACAAGGAUUAGAAAUUUUUCUUACUGGAGUAAUGAACCUUGCCCUUCUCUGUAGUAGUCUUCUGGUGAAGUGAGUGCUAGAUCUGCAAAGCAAGAGAAAUCUGCAUCUGGAGUAUACAAAAGGUUAUCUAACCCCAGAGCUUGCCUCAAUUGCCUACAUGUUCAAAACAAGGAUCUGUUAAAAAAUGGAAAUUUCUUCAAUGCCUUAGUAAAGGGAAGUGAAGUGAAAGCAUUUUAAUUAUUUAUGUUAUUUUUGAAUAAUGGAUAAGGUAUCUUAUGGUGUUAAUAUAAGUAUGUAAUUACAUUUAACUUACUUAUUUAUUAGUAAUGUCAUAUUUAUAAAUUUUUUAAUUAAAUAAAUAUUUUUUUAAAGAUUGGCGAAUUUUUACGGAUUUACAAAAGUAAAUCCAUAUCCAAUCCACCGCUUGUGGAUUUUUAAAUUUUUAAUCCAAUUCAAUCCACCAAUCCACGGAUAAGAUUUUUACGAACCAAAUUUUUACGGAUCGGACGAAUUGAGCUGAUCGAACCGGAUUCUGAACACCCCUACUAUUGGGUUUCACUUUGUUUUACAUGAAUUUGGGAAAAAUACACGGAUAGACAAGGGAACAGUCAUUGUUAAGCUGUGAAGCUUGUGGAAGAUACCAUUGCCUAUUUGCAGCUUAAACUCCUGGAGCUUUGCUCAUGCUUUCUCUUUCCCACUUUCUCAUGGAACAGAUGUAUACAUCAUGAAAUGAAAACAACAGCACAAAUUGCUGUCUCGUAAGAGAAACAGUCAUACAUAGUAGGUUAGGCCUCAUGUCCAUUAACUUACUAAUGAAUUUUAUGAAAAUUGGCUAUCUCAUUGAAAUUACAUAGGUAUUGGAAACCCUUACUCCAGCUGCAUCAUCUCAUCAGUGAAAGCUGGAUUUUCCAUUUGUUCUUGAGAUUCAUAUUAAGGCAGCAAAUUGCUCAUCCCAUACUAUCUAUGUAAUCCUGUAAAAGGGAAGGGCGUUUAGAUGUGGAAAAACCUUACUCCUGCCGCUGCACCUCAAACAGAUUGCGAUCACACAAGACUUAGUUCAUCAUUAGUAGUAGUUGGAGCUUCCAUUUGUUCUUGAGAUUCAAAGGCAGCAAGCUGCUUCCUCAGUGCUACUAAU
This 2307-nucleotide long non-coding RNA is filed under the name Citrus sinensis (sweet orange). RNAcentral's name for it is "long non-coding RNA (CSIN_LNC001298)". Lineage: Eukaryota; Viridiplantae; Streptophyta; Magnoliopsida; Sapindales; Rutaceae. The record is from RNAcentral.